Long non-coding RNA from Magnolia sinica, 1609 nucleotides. RefSeq lists it as uncharacterized. The record is from RefSeq and is a predicted model, not a curated record. The transcript has 2 exons. Lineage: Eukaryota; Viridiplantae; Streptophyta; Magnoliopsida; Magnoliales; Magnoliaceae.
AAGUAUUACAUAAACUAUUUUUUAAUACCUUAUCUUUCAAAGAUAUAUUUAAAAUGUCCAAUGUAUAUAUACUUGUGAUGAAAUAAUAUUAAUUGGGGACUUGGGAGAUGAUUUGGUGCCUUAUGAAAACUUUUAUCAAUAAUGGACAACAUGCUAAUUUCUCACACAAGGCAACAAUUGUGCCUUCCAUAUGUCUAAGGAUGAUGGGCUAACAUCCAACAAUGAAGCCAAACGCCAACUUGCUGGGAGGUGGUUAUGGACAAGGGGCUAGUGCACCCAAGAUGGAGUAAAACAACACUCAUUUUUAAUACUUUUAAGUGUGGACAAUCAGGACGUAGUUCUUUUCGCUAGUUUGGACAUCAAUCCACAGUUAAAGUAAAUUUGGCUGAGGAAGGAGAAUUAUUUAUGACACUUCCGACUGUAUGAAAGCCAAGUAUGGCACAAAAAUAUCAAGAACAUGCAUAAGACUAUCCUUUUUCGUUUCUUCUUCCUUUCUUUUGUUUAAAUUCAUGUAAGUACUCUUAAGUGACUUAGUACCUAUUGUAUGAAGCACUCUGUUACACCUUGCAUUGUUGACUUCUAACGUGCGUAUUUUGCCUGCUAGUCAAUGUUAAAUCAAUACAUGCUUGUGAUGUUCCGAGAACAUGAAUAGCAAUAUGGUCAUUUUGUGUAUUGAAGCUCUUUCUUUCUCAAAGAAUAGUUUUCCAGUCAUUUAUGGUUUCUAUCCUUGUGAGUGCUCUUGAUGCAUCUUUUUGACAAUUGGUUUCUAUCAGUAAAUGUUAAACCGGCGUUUGGGUGAAUGGCUAGCAUCAUGGGUUUGCUCCCCAUAAACGCAAGUUUGAUUCCUCUUCCCGUGAUUUACCCAAUGCACGUGGUUUGCAGGUGAUUGCGUGCAUCUCCAGGGAUUAGUCUUGCCUUAAAAAGGAGUGGGACACCCUGUUGUCAUUAAAGAAAAAUCAGUAAAUGCUAAACCAAAGGAAGAUAAUUAUGACACUGAUUUGUAUCUAAUUUCAAUGUUCCUACCUGUAGGUGUUGAGCCAAAAGUCACUAUCUCACCGGAAAGCUUUGAUGAAGUGCAAGUGUGGUUUUGUUAUUUCUUUAACUCUGCGUGAAAGCAACUGAUCUUAUCUCUUUUCACAAAUUCAAACAACAGAAUCUUUUUGUUUCCUUAAUGUUUUCCUUUAAUCUAUGAACUUUGCAGUUUUGCGUUCAGAAUGUUUUCGUUUUUGAACUUCAUGAUUUGCUACAGAUGCAUCAGGCAAUAUGAUACCUGGAGUUGAUGUUGUUCAUAAUUGACGGCAGUUUUUUCAUCUUACAGCAACAGAUAGCAAUGCUGACAUUAGCAGAGGACCACAAAUACAAAUAGGCAUACAAACCUUGAAUUCUCAGAUACAAAGUCAAGCUCAAGUAUUUGGUAUCUAUCAAUCUUCUAACAGAAGGUUGCAUUCUACAAGUACAUAUUUAUUAGCAUAUUUCAUCGCCAAGUAAUCUAGGCCAUCCCUCUUUUCUAACCCACCAAAGUGGAUGAUUGAACCGAACCAUGAAAGACGGACAAUUAUUAUUGUUGAUUUUUCUACUUGAACAUGAGCUUGUUGGCCUGUUUUCCUUU